Long non-coding RNA from Hordeum vulgare subsp. vulgare (domesticated barley), 427 nucleotides. RefSeq lists it as uncharacterized. Lineage: Eukaryota; Viridiplantae; Streptophyta; Magnoliopsida; Poales; Poaceae. The transcript has 2 exons. The record is from RefSeq and is a predicted model, not a curated record.
CAGAAAACAUGCAUGCAAAAGUGUAAAUAAGAAACAAUGUCGACGUAUUAUGAAAUUGUGCAGCUAAGUGUACUGUGAGUGCACAGGGAUCUCGUCCGAGGCGGAGGCAGAAGUGGAGCUCGGGUUCUCGUCCGCAUGCACGUCGUCCAGCCCACAUGGCCGCAUCAUGUUCUACCGCACUUUCGCGUCUAAGGCCGGUGACAUGGAGUAGGGCAUGCACUCCUACUAGUGCACGCCUGUCUCAACAUUGUCCAAUCUGACGCAUGCAUAAAUCAUGGAUUCAGUUUGAUAACAGUUUACUUACUUCUCAACGUGUUCAGGUAAGAAUAAUAGGAUAUGAACUGUUGGCAUGGGAUACAACACGGUGAGAUUGAUUACUACGUGUGUGAGCUAGUCUACAUAAAUAAUCAAUCAAGGGGCUCGUUUC